Long non-coding RNA from Magallana angulata, 557 nucleotides. RefSeq lists it as uncharacterized. The transcript has 3 exons. The record is from RefSeq and is a predicted model, not a curated record. NCBI's taxonomy places the organism in Eukaryota, Metazoa, Mollusca, Bivalvia, Ostreida, Ostreidae.
CUUGCAGGAAAGUGCACAAGGCCUCCAAAUCCAAAAUAUGACUAUAGAAGUUUUAUUGCCCAGACAUGUGAUUGUCUAGAACCAAUUGGAUGAUGCGUUAUAUAGAAUAUUCAUAUUGAGAGCUGCCAUGUCUUCUAAGAGAAACUCCAUUCUUUGAUGACUGAUGGAAAAGCCUCAUCACUUCCUUUGCUAAAGAACUUGUUAUCUUAAUCACUAGCCAUUAAUCAGUGACCACCGUUAUCAAAGCUUCCAGACACGCAUAAUGAUACAGCUUCCUGGAUCGUGUUGAGUUUGUUUUUCAACCUGUGAAACCCAUUUGUUUUUAGGGGUGGGUAUGCUUAUAUUUAAUUUUCUCUCUUAGAAACCAAGCAAGUCAUUAUUUUCCUGGUCUCAAGUUAGUCUCAAAGCAUUUAACAAUAAUUUCUAUUUCAUUUAUAAUAUACUGAGAGUUUAGUUAAUGAACUAAGGCCACAUAAAGUUGAAAUAAUGGUUCUCGGGUCAAAUUUUCUAGAAAUGGAUGUGAGAGGGAAGCAUUUUUGCCCUUUUUAUUGUUGAUG